Molecule: ribosomal RNA, 465 nt
Filed under: uncultured bacterium
Lineage: Bacteria
Description: partial 16S ribosomal RNA
Rfam family: Bacterial small subunit ribosomal RNA
Source: RNAcentral
GACGAACGCUGGCGGCGUGCUUAACACAUGCAAGUCGAACGGAAAGGCCCUGCUUGCAGGGUACUCGAGUGGCGAACGGGUGAGUAACACGUGGGUGAUCUGCCCUGCACUUCGGGAUAAGCCUGGGAAACUGGGUCUAAUACCGGAUAGGAGCCAUUUUUAGUGUGAUGGUUGGAAAGUUUUUUCGGUGUAGGAUGAGCUCGCGGCCUAUCAGCUUGUUGGUGGGGUAAUGGCCUACCAAGGCGGCGACGGGUAGCCGGCCUGAGAGGGUGGACGGCCACAUUGGGACUGAGAGACGGCCCAGACGCCUACGGGAGGCAGCAGUGGGGAAUAUUGCACAAUGGGCGCAAGCCUGAUGCAGCGACGCCGCGUGGGGGAUGACGGCCUUAGGGUUGGAAACUCCUUUCGCUAGGGACGAAGCUUUUUGUGACGGUACCUAGAUAAGAAGCACCGGCUAACUACGUG